This 563-nucleotide ribosomal RNA is filed under the name Peltophryne peltocephala (Tschudi's Caribbean toad). Its description in RNAcentral is "Peltophryne peltocephalus (Tschudi's Caribbean toad) partial 16S ribosomal RNA". It matches the Rfam family "Bacterial large subunit ribosomal RNA", at positions 1819 to 2597 of the family's 2925-position model. The record is from RNAcentral. Lineage: Eukaryota; Metazoa; Chordata; Amphibia; Anura; Bufonidae.
CGCCUCUUGAAUUAAUAUAAGAGGUCCAGCCUGCCCAGUGACCCUGUUCAACGGCCGCGGUAUCCUAACCGUGCGAAGGUAGCGUAAUCACUUGUUCUUUAAAUGAGGACUAGUAUGAACGGCAUCACGAAGGUUAUACUGUCUCCUUUUUCUAAUCAGUGAACCUAAUCUCCCCGUGAAGAAGCGGGAAUAUAACUAUAAGACGAGAAGACCCUAUGGAGCUUAAAACAACACAGCACUUGCUAAAAAACUAAGCAUUCCCGAAUUUUUACUUUCUAGGCAACAUGACUGUAAGUUUUUGGUUGGGGUGACCACGGAGUACAAUAUAACCUCCAUGUUGAAAGAAUUUUUUCUAAGCCAAAAAUUACACUUUUAAGCAUCAAUAAAUUGACAUCUAUUGACCCAAUAUAUUUGAACAACGAACCAAGUUACCCUAGGGAUAACAGCGCAAUCCACUUCAAGAGCUCCUAUCGACAAGUGGGUUUACGACCUCGAUGUUGGAUCAGGGUUUCCCAGUGGUGCAGCCGCUACUAAAGGUUCGUUUGUUCAACGAUUAAAACCCU